GGAGUUGUGGCUCAGCAGUAGAACACUCACCUAGCAAGUGUGAGGCCAUGAGUUUGAUUCUCAACACCA
RNAcentral lists this transfer RNA (69 nucleotides) under Ictidomys tridecemlineatus (thirteen-lined ground squirrel). RNAcentral describes it as "Spermophilus tridecemlineatus (thirteen-lined ground squirrel) tRNA". It matches the Rfam family "tRNA". From Rfam's summary of the family: Transfer RNA (tRNA) molecules are approximately 80 nucleotides in length. Their secondary structure includes four short double-helical elements and three loops (D, anti-codon, and T loops). The record is from Rfam by way of RNAcentral. Lineage: Eukaryota; Metazoa; Chordata; Mammalia; Rodentia; Sciuridae.